GACGUAGGGCGCGAGCGUUGUCCGGAUUUAUUGGGCGUAAAGAGCUCGUAGGCGGCUUGUUGCGUCGACUGUGAAAGCCCGUGGCUUAACCGCGUGGUCUGCAGUCGAUACGGGCAGGCUGGAGUUCGGUAGGGGAGACUGGAAUUCCUGGUGUAGCGGUGAAAUGCGCAGAUAUCAGGAGGAACACCGGUGGCGAAGGCGAGGUGCUGGACCCUUUCUGACGCUGAGGCGCGAAAGCCAGGGGAGCGAACGGG
RNAcentral lists this ribosomal RNA (254 nucleotides) under uncultured bacterium. Its description in RNAcentral is "partial 16S ribosomal RNA". It matches the Rfam family "Bacterial small subunit ribosomal RNA", at positions 524 to 776 of the family's 1533-position model. The record is from RNAcentral.